RNAcentral lists this ribosomal RNA (478 nucleotides) under uncultured bacterium. RNAcentral describes it as "partial 16S ribosomal RNA". It matches the Rfam family "Bacterial small subunit ribosomal RNA", at positions 28 to 523 of the family's 1533-position model. The record is from RNAcentral.
GACGAACGCUGGCGGCGUGCUUAACACAUGCAAGUCGAACGGUAAGGCCCUUCGGGGUACACGAGUGGCGAACGGGUGAGUAACACGUGGGUGAUCUGCCCUGCACUUCGGGAUAAGCCUGGGAAACUGGGUCUAAUACCGGAUAGGACCACUGCCUGCAUGGGUGGUGGUGGAAAGCUUUUGCGGUGUGGGAUGGGCCCGCGGCCUAUCAGCUUGGUGGGGGGGUGAUGGCCUACCAAGGCGACGACGGGUAGCCGGCCUGAGAGGGUGACCGGCCACACUGGGACUGAGAUACGGCCCAGACUCCUACGGGAGGCAGCAGUGGGGAAUAUUGCACAAUGGGCGCAAGCCUGAUGCAGCGACGCCGCGUGAGGGAUGACGGCCUUCGGGUUGUAAACCUCUUUCAGCACAGACGAAGCGCAAGUGACGGUAUGUGCAGAAGAAGGACCGGCCAACUACGUGCCAGCCGCCGCCGUAA